RNAcentral lists this ribosomal RNA (253 nucleotides) under uncultured bacterium. RNAcentral's name for it is "partial 16S ribosomal RNA". It matches the Rfam family "Bacterial small subunit ribosomal RNA", at positions 524 to 776 of the family's 1533-position model. The record is from RNAcentral.
UACGUAGGUGGCGAGCGUUGUCCGGAUUUACUGGGCGUAAAGGGAGCGUAGGCGGAUUUUUAAGUGAGAUGUGAAAUACUCGGGCUCAACUUGAGUGCUGCAUUUCAAACUGGAAGUCUAGAGUGCAGGAGAGGAGAAUGGAAUUCCUAGUGUAGCGGUGAAAUGCGUAGAGAUUAGGAAGAACACCAGUGGCGAAGGCGAUUCACUGGACUGUAACUGACGCUGAGGCUCGAAAGCGUGGGGAGCAAACAGG